CCUACGGGUGGCAGCAGUGAGGAAUAUUGGUCAAUGGGCGCGAGCCUGAACCAGCCAAGUAGCGUGAAGGAUGACUGCCCUACGGGUUGUAAACUUCUUUUAUAAAGGAAUAAAGUGACUCUCGUAUUCCUUUUUGUAUUUACUUUAUGAAUAAAGAUCGGCUAACUCCGUUCCAGCCGCCGCGGUACUACGGAGGGUCCGAGCGUUGUCCGGAUUUAUUUGGUUUAAAGUGAGCGUAGAGGGGUUGUUAAGUCAAUUGUGAAAGUUUGCGGCUCAAAGGUAAAAUUGCAAUUGAUACUGGCAGCCUGGAGUACAGUUGAGGUAGGCGGAAUUCGUGGUGUAGGGGUGAAAUGCGUAGAUAUCACGAAGAACUCCGAUUGCGAAGGCAGCCUACUAAAAUGCCACUGACAUUGAUGCGCGAAAGUGUGGGUAUCAAACAGGAUUAGAUACCCGGGUAGUC
RNAcentral lists this ribosomal RNA (460 nucleotides) under uncultured bacterium. RNAcentral describes it as "partial 16S ribosomal RNA". It matches the Rfam family "Bacterial small subunit ribosomal RNA", at positions 338 to 795 of the family's 1533-position model. The record is from RNAcentral.